Molecule: ribosomal RNA, 427 nt
Filed under: uncultured bacterium
Lineage: Bacteria
Description: bacterial SSU rRNA
Rfam family: Bacterial small subunit ribosomal RNA
Source: RNAcentral
UGGGGAAUUUUGGACAAUGGGCGAAAGCCUGAUCCAGCAAUGCCGCGUGUGUGAAGAAGGCCUUCGGGUUGUAAAGCACUUUUGUCCGGAAAGAAAUCCUCUGGGUUAAUACCUCGGGGGGAUGACGGUACCGGAAGAAUCAGCACCGGCUAACUACGUGCCAGCAGCCGCGGUAAUACGUAGGGUGCAAGCGUUAAUUGGAAUUACUGGGCGUAAAGCGUGCGCAGGCGGUUUUGUAAGACGGAUGUGAAAUCCCCGGGCUUAACCUGGGAACUGCAUUCGUGACUGCAAGGAUAGAGUAUGGCAGAGGGGGGUAGAAUUCCACGUGUAGCAGUGAAAUGCGUAGAGAUGUGGAGGAAUACCGAUGGCGAAGGCAGCCCCCUGGGCCAAUACUGACGCUCAUGCACGAAAGCGUGGGGAGCAAACA